UUCAGGCCAUCUGGAUGUAUACGUGCAAA
This 29-nucleotide non-coding RNA is filed under the name Homo sapiens (human). The record is from RNAcentral. Lineage: Eukaryota; Metazoa; Chordata; Mammalia; Primates; Hominidae.